GGUCCGUGACACUCGAAGUUUGACACUUGACAGGCCCUCGAAGCCGGCGUCCGCUCCCACUCCCUAGUCGUUACUGACUUGAUGUCGAAAUUGGUUUACUGACCGGCGAGCGGGAUGGGAUUCGGUCUUCAGCUCAAGCUCAUCGUUUGGAAGAACACGGUCACAAGGAAGCGAAACAAGUUUAGACUCGUCGUCGAGCUGAUAUGGCCUUUGCUCCUUUUCCUCAUUUUAAUGUGGGUCCGAACGAGAGGAUUGCAAACAAGAAUCGAAGAAUGCCAUCUCACUGAAAAACCAAUGCCUUCAACUGGGUUCUUUCCUUUUAUUCAAAGUUUUAUUUGUACUGCCAACAAUACUUGUUUUCCCGAUGAAGAAUCUGCUAAAACUUUUUUUCCAACCAUUAACGAAGAGACAAUAACCCAACUGUUAAAUGAAAUUAUGAAAAUUUUAGACAGCGCUCCAAAUGGUACAUUGACUAAACACUUUGAACGUGUAAGCAAAAAUUCGGAACGUUUUUUAUAUGCAAUUAAGAAAAUUGCAAAAGAUGAUGACAGUGUUGAAAGUAGAAUGCUGGUUUUAAGGAAUUUAUUAAAAAAUCCUGAUAAUUUAUAUGAAACAUUAAAAACUGAUAGAGUGACGAUCAAUAAGGAAAUAGUUGACAUGAUGUUAGAUGCUGACCUAAAGACUGAUUCUAAUUUAGUUCAUCUAAUUUUCAACAAUGAUACACCUAAACACUGCUCUUUCAGUGGUGAUGAAUUAUCCAGUAAUAUUGAUGAAGUAUUGUGUAAUUUGAGCAGAGCACAGCUAUACAGAAUAAAAUCAAAUAUUGAUGAAAUGUGGAAUUCUUUUUAUGCAAAACCAAAGGUUGAGAAAUACAUAAAAUUUAAUUUAACUUCUUUUGCAUCUGUUGACAAUUGGAUGGCAUUAGAUGAGGUCAUAGAUUCAUUUGAGAAAAUUACUCACAAUACAAGACUGACAGACAGGUUAUAUGAACAAAAUGUAGUAAAUUCUAAUCAAGAUAACCAAAUAGAAAACCCAGACUUAUUAGGCAACAGUACACUCUUUAAAAUUUAUUCACUAGUGUUUAAAUAUUUGUGUGGAGUAAAAGGUGGACUACAAAAAAUUAGUACAGGAAUAAUUCAAGACAAUCCAAAACAAAUAGAAAAUAUGCAGAAAAUGUUUUUUGACAAUGCCUUCAUUAACUACCAAUAUGAUAACUAUACAACACCCGAAUGCAAUGAUAUUUUCAAAGCAAUUGAAAGGAACCCUCUGGGAAGAAUCAUUUGGAGACUUUACAAACCAUUUUUAUGUGGCCAAAUUCUUUAUUACCCUGAUACGCCUGUCGUUAGACGAGUGAUGCAAAGGGUUAAUAUGACUUUUGUAAAGAUAGGGGAUGCAAUAAACACACUUAUUACUCUUGGAACACUAGAUCCUAAUGUAGAAACAAAUCGCAUUCUUAGUUCAAUUCAAAAUUAUUUUGGAUCAGAUAAGGGGCAGACCCUGUUUGAUAAUGAAUCGGACUCCAAUGUACUUGAAGAUGACUUAGAAAGAAUAGCUAAAUUAUUAGAAUGGACAAUCGAUUCUUUUGAGUCAAAAUACAAUUUGGAAAACAUAGGAAGAAACUUAUCUUCAUUUGACUCUUUUUUAAAGUGCAUUGAAAGAAACAAAAUCAGGCCAUAUAAAGACUUGAAGAAAGCAGAGAAGGAUGGAGAGGAUUUGAUCUUGUUUGAUCGACUUUGGGCAUUGGUAGAAUUUAUUUCUCCUGGACAGAAUGAACUUUCACCUUUAACUACUUAUAAGAUACGAAUGAGCCCAGAUAAAGUUGAUAACACAGAAUACAUAACUGACAGGAUAGACACACCUGGUGGUAGGGUAAGACCAACUUAUGAUCUAAAGUAUAUCACACACGGAUUCAUUUACCUUCAAGAUUUAUUGGAUCAUAGUAUUAUAUAUGAGAAAACAAAAUAUGAAAAAAUACCUGGUGCCAUUCUACAUCAACUUCCUUACCCUUGUCACAUUGAUGAUGAAUUCAUAGGUGCAGUUUCUAGAACUUUUCCUUUGUUUAUGGUCCUUGCUUGGAUUUAUACAACAUCAAUGAUUGUCAAGUCAAUAGUGCACGAGAAAGAACUUAGAUUAAAAGAGACGAUGAGAGUGAUGGGUUUAGGAAAUGGAAUUCAUUGGGUCGGCUGGACAAUAGACAGUCUGGUACCAAUGCUAUUUACCAUUGCCAUUCUCUCCAUAAUACUUGUUUAUGGGCGAAUUUUGACCUUCAGCAAUCCAAUGGUAGUUUUCAUAUUUCUACUUGCAUACAGCUUAGCAACAGUUGCUCAAGCAUUUCUGAUAUCUGUAUUCUUUGGGAAAGCCAAUUUAGCUGCUGCUUGCGCAGGAAUCAUCCAUUUUAUUCUUUACAUGCCAUAUGCUCUUUUGGCUCGUUGGUUUCCACUUUUGUCUACCUCCUCAAAAAUUUUGAUGUCUUUAUCAUCUAACGUUGCUCUUGGACUUGGUGCUGCUUAUUUUGCUCAGUAUGAAGAGUCUGCUGUUGGAAUGCAUUGGAGUAACAUCAACAAAAGUCCAAUGAUUGGAGACCAAUACAAUAUGCUGUAUAUUAUUUACAUGCUAUUAUUAGAUGCAGUACUUUACAUGAUUUUGACAUGGUACAUUGAAACAGUGAGACCAGGGGAGUAUGGCAUACCUAAGCCCUGGAACUUCCCAUUUACACUUUCAUAUUGGACUGGAGUAUAUCCAACAAAGAUAAACACUAAUGCAGAAAACUUAAAUGAUAUUAAUGAAACCAGAGAAGAUGGACCGUCUAGCCUGAUAAGUGGUGUUAAAAUAAUCAAUUUAUCCAAGGUGUAUCCCAAUGGAAAAAAAGCUAUUGAUAAUAUUUCUGUUGCAUUUUAUGAAGGUCAGAUUACUUCUUUCCUCGGCCAUAAUGGGGCUGGAAAAACAACUACCAUUUCCAUUUUGACAGGCUUAUUGCCUCCAACAUCAGGAACAGCUUUGAUAAAUGGAAAUAAUAUUCUAACUGAUAUGUACAGAGUACGAAAAAAUUUGGGAGUAUGCCCACAGCACAACAUUCUUUUCCACAGGCUGACAAUUAAAGAGCAUUUAUGGUUUUAUGGAAUGCUCAGAGGUGGGAAGAAAGGAAAUUUACUUCAUCAUGAGAUUGAACAGAUGCUCUUAGACUUGAACUUAGCUGACAAAAGUGAUGCUUACUCCACUGACCUUUCAGGUGGCAUGCAACGAAAACUUUCAAUAGCUGUGGCUUUUAUAGGAGGUUCAAAGACUGUCAUUUUGGAUGAGCCAACUUCUGGCGUUGAUCCUUAUUCGAGGCGUUCUAUUUGGGAGUUGCUAAUAAAAUACAAAAAAGGUCGAACGUUGAUUCUAACAACACAUUACAUGGACGAAGCAGACCUACUUGGUGACCGGAUUGCCAUUAUAGCUCAAGGCAGGCUAGUUUGUGUUGGAUCGGGUGUUUUUCUAAAAAGCCAGCUUGGAAAAGGAUAUAAUCUAACUGUUGAAUUGGCAUUGAAUACUCCAACAUUAGUACCCAAGACAGAUUUGAAUUCAGAAAGCGAUGUAUCCAUUUCUUCUGAAACAAACAUUAAAAAUAUAACAGAUUUUAUUCAACAUGUGAUACCAAAUGCAACUAUUGUGGAUCAAAUUGGACAAGAAGUUAUUUACAAUCUCCCAAGUAAAAACCCAUCACAAUUAUCUCGACUGUGUUCAAUGAUUGAUUCAGAGAUGGACAGAUUGCACAUAGUGUCUUAUGGAAUUUCAGAUUCUUCUUUAGAAGAAAUAUUUUUGUCUGUAGCGACCGACCAAGAGAAAAAUGAUUCCACAACAACAGGUUGCUGCUGUUUCAAAAAGUCCUUAUCUGUAGAAAGUGCGGAUAUUGGUAAAUAUUCACAUUCCACUGUUCAAAGUAAAACAGAACCAAAGGAGAUCCGUGUCCAAGUUAAUGGUACAAAUGUGAAGUAUUCUGCAGUAACAGUGGUUAAAACCCACGAAGAACAAGUAGAGAAGAGACAGUCAAAAUUGUGGAAACAGUUUAUUGCCUUGCACACUAAAAGGUUCCUUCACAAUAAAAGGAAUUUGAAGGCUUUGUUUUCAGAACUCAUACUCCCCGCUCUUUUGGUCUGUGCAGCAAUGUUAGUUUUAUCUAUCUUACCAUCUUUUAGGCAUAGGCCAGAAUUAGAAUUGACUCCAUGGAAAUAUACCCAGCCAUUAGUGUUUUUUCUGAGUGCUGAUCACAGUGGUAAUGACAUGGAUUUAUUUGUAAAUGAAAUUGAUGGAUCCUUUGGCCUUGGCACAUCUUGUUUACCAGCUGACUACAAUGUCACCCACACCAAGUGCUCUGUAGCGUCAGGACCAAUUCCAUCUCUGUUCAAUUUGAGUCGCCCAAGAGUAACAAAAUGUUCUUGUAAAACUGGUGCUCAAGUCUGUCCAUAUAGAAUUGAUGAUUCGUUACCUUCCAUAGUGUUAACCUCUCAUGACAUAUUACGCUUUGUCAAUUUAUCAGAUUUGAGUGACUGGAUUAUAAAUACUUGGCCUAAAUAUAAAAACCAAAGAGUGGGUGGGUAUACAUUAAAUGCCAACCUAGUGACACAAUCGAUUGAUUUGAAAAAAAUUCCCUUUCACAACGUUCCUUUUCAAUUCAAGCUUUUAUUUGAAUAUUUGAAAAAUUAUCUACCUGAAAAAUCAAUUUCUACUGAUAAUAAUAUAAAGGUUUGGUUCAACAAUAAGAACUGGAUUGCCUCAGUCGCUAACCUAAAUGCUAUUAAUAAUGUUAUCUUGAGAGCAUUGAUGAACUCAAGUAAGUCUGGUGAACAUGGUAUCAGAACAAUUAAUCAUCCGUUGAAGUUCAAUGAAAAACAAAAAUAUGCUGAAUUGUUACGAAAUGGAAUUGGUAUAAUUUUAAUGGCAAUUGCAGUCAUAUUUGCCUUAAGUUUUGUCACAGCUUCAUUCUGUCUAUAUUUAAUUGAAGAAAGGAAGUCAAAUUCUAAACAUCUGCAACUGGUUUCUGGUGUCAAUAGGCUUAUAUAUUGGUUUGAAGCAUUUGUUUGGGACAUGUGUGCUUUUUCUUUGUCUGUUAUUUUGUGCAUACUGGUGUUUUUAAUAUUUAAUGAACAAGCAUUCAUAGCACCAGACCGCUUCCCAGGAGUUCUCUCUUUGAUGUUACUUUUUGGAUGGUCGUGUAUCCCUCUAAUGUACCCAGCAAGCUUUUUUUUUGACAUUCCAAGUUCAGCGUUUGUCUCUCUUUCUUGUGUAAAUAUGUUCAUUGGCGUUAUCACAACAGUCACGACCACUGUCCUCUCUUUCUUUGAUGAUGAGGAACUUAAGCGAAUAGGAAAAAUAAUUGGACAGGUAUUUAUGAUAUUUCCACAUUUCUGUCUCGGCGAUGGGCUUAUGAAGCUCUCAAGCAGCUAUAUCACAUCAGCACUAUUGUUAGACCUAGAUAUUGUGUACGAACAAAGUGUUUUCAGCUGGGGUUUUCUUGGUAAAAAUCUUGUAUGUAUGUUUUUCUUGGGAAUUCUGUUCAUGUUAAUUACUCUUGCAAUUGAGUAUAGAAUACACAGGCUUUGGAAGAAAUCUUACAAGCACAAUAUCAAGGCACAGAUUACUGGUGAAGAAGAUGAUGUCGCUGCAGAGAGAAGAAGAAUUAACAACAGUUCAACUUCAGAUGAUGUAUUAGUUAUAAAAGAUCUUGUUAAGAUUUAUCCCAGAAAGGUGACACCUUCAGUAAAUCAGAUAUGUGUUGGUAUAAAAAAAGGUGAAUGUUUUGGCCUUCUUGGACUUAAUGGAGCUGGGAAGACAACAACAUUCAAGAUGCUCACGGGAGAUAUUGACCCAAGUUUUGGCACAGCAACUAUUCUAGGAUAUGACAUAACAAAAGAAAUAGAUAAAGCAAGAUCUGUUCUUGGUUACUGCCCACAGUUUGAUGCUUUAGAUCCACUACUCACACCUUAUGAACAUUUGAUCUUAUAUGGGAGAAUCAGAAAUUUGAACUCGUAUAUCCUUCAAGCAGUAAGAGAGUCGAUAGUUUAAUUAAGAGAAUGGGCUUAGGAUUUUAUAGACAUCGACUUGCGGGUUCACUUUCUGGAGGUAACAAAAGAAAGCUCUCUACGGCCAUUGCCCUGAUUGGUAAUCCACCUCUUGUAUUCUUGGAUGAACCAACAACAGGAAUGGAUCCAAAAGCAAAACGUUUCUUAUGGAAAUGCAUCCAGGAAAUUGUAAGAGAAGGAGGAUGUAUACUUUUGACAUCACACAGCAUGGAAGAAUGCCAGGCUCUUUGUACAAGGCUAACGAUUAUGGUUAAUGGGCAGUUUAAAUGCUUGGGGUCAUCCCAGCAUUUGAAGAACAAGUAUGGUGGUGGCUACCUCAUUAUAUUAAGAUGCCAUGAAGAUGAUAUGGAAAAAGCCAAAACUUUUAUGGUGACCAAUUUACCGAAGUCAAAGAUGGUUGAAGCUCAUUAUAAUCAAAUUCGCUAUGAAGUCAAGGAUAUACAAGUUACUACAUUGUUUUCUGUUAUGGAAAGGGCUAAAGAAAAGAAAAUAAUUACAG
Molecule: unclassified non-coding RNA, 6561 nt
Filed under: Cimex lectularius (bed bug)
Lineage: Eukaryota; Metazoa; Arthropoda; Insecta; Hemiptera; Cimicidae
Description: aTP-binding cassette sub-family A member 1-like, transcript variant X7
Source: RNAcentral